Molecule: long non-coding RNA, 942 nt
Organism: Homo sapiens (human)
Lineage: Eukaryota; Metazoa; Chordata; Mammalia; Primates; Hominidae
Product: long intergenic non-protein coding RNA 1919
Source: Ensembl
GGCUCUCAAGCAAGGUCCACUUGCAGUGAAAUAAACCAGAGGUUUGAAUCAUGGCUUGAUACGAAAUUAUUGGAAAGAAUAUGGCGAUGACAUCCACAAUGCCGGAUAAAGAAAAUAUUUAGAAGAUGAGAUUCCUGUGUUUCUGGCUUUCAUUUUACUGGUCAUUCCUGCCAUGAGAAGAUGAUAGAGAAUAUCACCACAGUGUGACUUGCUUCCAAGGCAGCAUGGUUUCAUGCAGAGGAUCUAAACUGGGGACCAUGUGCUGGGCUGCAAAAGGGCUGUGCAGUGCCUAAAAUGUUAUGCAAAAUUUUAUAAAGGUAGGUCAUGUAUUGCUCCAUUGAUGCUGCCCUUAUUCAUGAUGAUUAAAGCCUUUGGGAGGUAUUCCUUCAGAAUAAUGGACAACUUCGAUAAGUACUGGUAAGAAAAUAAGUAGAAACUCUAAAUUUGAAGUCUUCAUUCUCAUCUUACUAUCUUCUAUUAAAUAUUAUUUAUAAUAAAAGCUGUAGGCUAAUUCAGAAAUAAGACUCCCAUCAAAAUGCAUGUAAAUAUAUUAAGCAAGUUAAGAAAGGCUGUAGACUAGGAAAAUGACUAUUCCACUAAGAAGUUUUGAAGUGGAACAGAGACACUGCUUUUUGAGAAAUAUCACCAGGGCUACUCAUCAAGAUGUUUCCAGAUCACAUGCUUUAUAUUGUUGUAUGAAACCUGAGAGAGCAGAACUGGUGAAAUCCAUCAACCAAGAUGAAAAAUUAUUGCAACUUUGAAAACAGAAAUGGCUGUAAAAAUUAAAACUGAUGAGACUCGGAGUUUAAGAAACCCAAGGCCACAAAUCCCCCCAUGAGACAGACUUCCUUGAGGACAAGGACUAUCUUCCAUUUCUGUGUACCAUGUGCCUGUAAUAGUGUUGGAAACAGAGUAGGCACUCAAUAAAUAUUUGUCAAACUA